AAUGUGAUGUACCUAGUAAUAUUAGUGAUUAAUAUGAGGCUAACCGAGUUAGUUAAAAUUCUAAGUAUAUAUGUGAUUAUGACAAUAUGUGCUUAUUUCUUGACCAAGUCACGUGCCAGCCGUCGCGGUAAUACGUGGAAGAUCAGUGUUAUUCAUCUUUAUCAGGUUUAAAGGGUACCUAGACGGUUAAUUAAGCUUUAGUAGGAACUAAUUAACUAGAGUUUAAUGUAAGAAUGAUUGAGUACGGUGAGUGUAGAGAUAAAAUUCUGUCAUACCACUUAGGAACUGGUAAAAGCGAAGGCAACUUUCUAUGUAAAAACUGACGUUAAGGGACGAAGGCUCGUAUCAAAUAACAGGAUUAGAUACCCCAGCAUUGUGGGCAGACAAUGAUGAGUGUCAUAUGCAAGAGAUAAAUAUAUAAAAAAAUAUUUUGUGUAUAAAUGAAAGUGUAAGCACUCCACCUCAAGAGUAACGUGGCAACAUGGGAACUGAAAUCAUUAGACCGUUUCUGAAACUCGUAGUGAAGUAUGUUGUUUAAUUAGAUGGUGCACAAAUAACCUUACCACAAUUUGUAUAACUAUAGUACAUAAUAAUAAUAUAGUUACAAGCGUUGCACGGCUGUCUUUAGUCUAUGUUGUGAAACUGUGGUUAGAUCCAUUAAAUAGACGUAAACCCUUACUUUAUUUAUUAUAAAGUAGUUCGCCGCUAUAUUGGUAGUGAUAUAAGGGACUAGGACAAGUCAUCAUGAC
This 749-nucleotide ribosomal RNA is filed under the name Diploschistes muscorum. RNAcentral's name for it is "mitochondrial SSU rRNA". It matches the Rfam family "Bacterial small subunit ribosomal RNA", at positions 380 to 1199 of the family's 1533-position model. The record is from RNAcentral. Lineage: Eukaryota; Fungi; Ascomycota; Lecanoromycetes; Ostropales; Graphidaceae.